CUGUUAUAUCUUUACUAUAUGUAUAAUUUUAUGAUACAUGUAUUACAUACAUUCAUAUAUAAAUGGUCAUUUAAAACGUAUAUUAUACCUUUGUAUUAUUCACACACCCCUUAAAUAUAGAUGUUUAUUAAAAGAUUAGUUUCCGAUCAUCAUGCUAAGGUGUAUUUCGACAGAAUAUCCCAACAAGGUAAUACAUAGAAUUCCAG
This 206-nucleotide long non-coding RNA is filed under the name Mytilus galloprovincialis (Mediterranean mussel). The record is from RNAcentral. Lineage: Eukaryota; Metazoa; Mollusca; Bivalvia; Mytilida; Mytilidae.